GGGGCCUUGGAGAACCCUUGUGUCUAGCUCAGGGAUUGUAAUUACACCAAUGGGCACUCUGUAUCUAGCUCAAGGUUUGUAAACACACCAAUCAGCACCCUGUGUCUAGCUCAGGGUUUGUGAAUGCACCAAUGGACACUCUAGCUACUAUGGUGGGGCCUUGGAGAACCUUUGUGUGGACACUCUGUGUCUAGCUAAUCUGGUGGGGAGGUGGAGAACCUUUAUGUGGACACUCUGUGUCUAGCUAAUCUGGUGGGGAGGUGGAGAACCUUUGUGUCUUCCUCAGGGAUUGUAAACGCACCAGUCAGCGCCCUGUCAAAACAGACCACUCAGCUCUACCAAUCAGCAGGAUGUGGGUGGGGCCAGAUAAGAGAAUAAAAGCAGGCUGCCUGAGCCGGCACUGGCAACUCGCUCGGGUCCCCUUCCACACCGUGGAAGCUUUGUUCUUUCGCUGUUUGCAAUAAAUCUUGCAGCUGCUCACUCUUUGGGUCCACACUGCCUUUAUGAGCUGUGACACUCACUGGGAAGGUCUGCAGCUUCACUCCUGAAGCCAACGAGACCACAAACCCACGGGGAGGAAUGAACAACUCCAGACACGCCACCUUAAGAGCUGUAACACUCACCGCGAAGGUCCGCAGCUUCACUCCUGAGCCAGAGAUACCACGAACCCCCUCAGAAGGAAGAAACUCUGAACACGUCCAAACACCAGAAGGAACAAACUCCGGACACGCCGCCUUUAAGAACUGUAACACUCAUCUUGAGGGUCCGCGGCUUCAUUCUUGAAGUCAGUGAGACCAAGAACCCACCAAUUCCGGACACACUAUCUUGAUGGAUAUGGAGUCAUAGCGUUUGAAAAGAAAAAAAAUAUUGAGAACUGAGAAAAGGCACUUUGGGAGGUCGAGGUGGGCAGAUCACCUGAGGUCAGGAGUUCAAGACCAGCCUGGACAACACGGUAAAACCCCGUCUCUAUUAAAAAUACAAAAAUUAGAUGGGCGUGGUGGCAGGUGACUGUAAUCCCAGCUACUUGGGAGGCUGAGACAGGAGGAUGGCUGAAACCCAGGAGGCAGAGGUUGCAGUGAGCCGAGACCAUGCCAUUGCUCUGCAGCCUGGCAACAAGGCAUGCCAUUGCCCUGCAACAAGAGAGAAAUCCCCCCGCCCCCCCCAAAAAAAAAAAAACUAGAAAAGGAAAGGAAGGUAUAGUGGAGAGUGCCGUUAGUUCACUGAAAUUCAUUUUCCAUUUCUUCCUGAGCACAGUCUAGACUACAUUUUCCAGCGACUUUUGCAAUUAGGUAUGGCGUCCAGUCCAGUGGAUCAUGAGCAAGCAAUGAGGAACCCAGGCCUUCAGGGAGUGGGCAUGUCUCGUCCAUGCUCUUUCCCCUUCUCACAAUGGAAACUCAGACAUGCCUCUAUAAUCAGCUUCAGCCAUGCAGAAGACAAUUCUCCCAGAGAACGGGGCAGGGGAGGACAGAGCAACGACUCAAAAGAAACCUGUGUCCUUAAAUAGUGGUGGAACAGAACAGGCUGCACCUGGAACAUUUAUUUUGGAUGGUUAUACAAAAGAAACUUCUUCAUCUUUUAAACUUCUAUACUGUUGAGACUGUGUUAUGGCAGCUCAGCCUUUUACCCUACCUAAUAUAAAAAUGAUUCUCAAAUCAGAUCAGAAAGAGAUUCUCCAGGUCCCAUCUUUCCUUUACCAGCUCUCCAUAUGUCACAUGUUGGCUGGGCAGGGUGGCUCACAUCUAUAUCGCAACACUUUGGGAGGCAGUUUUUCAAUUUUGUUAUGGAGCAUUUCAAACAUACAAAUGCAAA
This 1809-nucleotide long non-coding RNA is filed under the name Homo sapiens (human). RNAcentral describes it as "HSALNT0160484". Lineage: Eukaryota; Metazoa; Chordata; Mammalia; Primates; Hominidae. The record is from RNAcentral.